AAGUCGUAACAAGGUUUCCGUAGGUGAACCUGCGGAAGGAUCAUUAUCAAAUCAUAUUUUAAUGACGCUGCGGUAUUCCCUCGCGUUAGCGGGGGAAUAUGAGCAUGCAUGGGGAGGAUUGGGGGGAUGAGUAUUCGCAGGGGGAGGAUUGGCGUGACGUGAAUGCUUUUUGUUGAUUGGGGUGUGUCGCAAAUGGGUCGUUGAUUCAUGCGUGGAUGCACUCUGAUUGAAAAACACUUUUGAUUGGUUGAAGAGAACCCAGUGUUCUUUUUGAUGGAAUCACAUACAACUUUUAACAAUGGAUCUCUUGGCUCUU
This 316-nucleotide unclassified non-coding RNA is filed under the name fungal sp. RNAcentral's name for it is "partial internal transcribed spacer region". The stretch from base 1 to 46 matches the Rfam family "Eukaryotic small subunit ribosomal RNA", at positions 1786 to 1831 of the family's 1831-position model. Lineage: Eukaryota; Fungi. The record is from RNAcentral.